Fukomys damarensis (Damara mole-rat) is the source of this 303-nucleotide long non-coding RNA. RefSeq lists it as uncharacterized. The record is from RefSeq and is a predicted model, not a curated record. Lineage: Eukaryota; Metazoa; Chordata; Mammalia; Rodentia; Bathyergidae. The transcript has 3 exons.
AGAAGAAGAGACAGAAGUGCCAAUUCUGGGUUUCCAUUGAAUAAUCUUUUUGACUUAUAUUUCCCAUUUGAGAAGCGAGAACAUCUGCUACCAAAUCUAGUCUUCAGCAAUAAACACAAAACAGGAUGGUUGUUUUAAAAUUAAGUCUCUACCAAUAGAAUAGUGGCAAAGGAGAAACAGAAUCGACUAAGUGAAACCUACAUGCCCUUCUGAAAAGAAGGAAUGUUUGCUUGUGUCAAGAUGUUCACAGCACUGCCAAGGAAGCAAUGGACCAAGAAUGAAGAACAAAUGCACACUCACAGG